Molecule: ribosomal RNA, 543 nt
Filed under: uncultured bacterium
Lineage: Bacteria
Description: partial 16S ribosomal RNA
Source: RNAcentral
AGGUUGCCUCAGCGUCAAUCAACCCUUCGUGAGAUGCCUUCGCAAUCGGUGUUCUGUGUAAUCUCUAAGCAUUUCACCGCUACACUACACAUUCCUCCCACGGCAGAGUCAUUCCAGUCCACCAGUUCGGGAGGCACUUCCGACGUUGAGCGCCGGCAUUUCACUCCCGCUUAGCAAACCGCCUACGCGACCCUUUAAACCCAAUAAAUCCCGAUAAGGCUUGCAUUCUCCGUAUAACGGGGCUGGCUGCCACGAAUUAACCCAUGCUUAUUCCGAAGGUAUCUUAUUUAACCCACCGUGAAUCCAAUUGGUCCCCCGCAAAAACGGGUUUAAAACCCCAAGGGGCUUCCUCCCCCCCCCCGGUUUGGUUGGAUAACCUUUCCGGGCCUGGUCCAAAAUAUUCCCCCGGGGGCCCCCCCCAAAAAUUUUGGACCCGUUUUCUAUUUCCCAGUUGGGGGAACCUCUUCCUUAAAACACCUUACAUCUCUUUGGAGGGGGUGGCGGUUUACCCCCGCCGUUUUCUUUUUGGGGGGCCGAACACCC